CGCACUUCCAAUACUUUUUGCUUCCAAAUCUCAUAUAUAAAUCAAUUGCCGAUGUGAAAUUACACCCACAGAUCAUGAAGUCAAGCUAAUAGAACAGCACAGCUCUUUUUGGUAUUUUUAACAUUCAGGGGUCACGUUGCUAAGCCAACAAUGUGAACUCUCGUCCCAUGUGGAGCGAAAAACAUGAUCCUAAACUAAGCAUUCCAAGAAUACAAAUUAGUUGUUCAGAUAAUACAUCUACAAACAAGUGUUCAUCAUACAAACUCGAGGCAUAACGACCCUUCUUAUAGAUAUCAGUAACUGUGAAACAAAUUAUUUAUGUCAAGAUGCACGACAAAAUAAAUCAGAGUCAGCCAUAGCUCAAGCGUGAAUCAACAGGUCGUACAGUUGUCUGACGUCGAGGAAUUCCAAUUUCACAAGCAUUAACUCUAGCAGCAAAUCGAAGAGAACACAGUGAUUCACCAACUGAAGUGGGCUCUGGUGAAAUAUUGACAAACAUCAAGGUUUUUGAAUCCCCACCUAGACAAGGCUGUUGACAGAAUCAAUCAAAAUUAGAAAUUUGAUAAUCUAAAGUAAACCGGCCUGGUUAAAAAGGGCAAAGAAGCUGCUCUUGUUUUCUUUUCCUUGAUAGUUCUUGUUGAAGGAAUAUAGUUGCAAGAAAUGGCUUUACCUGGAGAAGAUAUGUCAAUUUUGAAUUCCUGAAAGGAACAUGAUCUUCCUUCUUUGCAAGGGCAAAUAUUACGUCACUUAAACAUGACAAACUUUUAUUGAUGGCCUGUUUUAUAUGGGAAGUUAGGACAACUGGAUCAAGGAAAAAAAUGAAACAAACUUACUAAAGAACUUGAAAAGAAAAUACCUGAGUUUCCUUCAACCUAUCCCCAGUUGCCCCGCUCCUUGAGAGUCGCUCGCUUCCAGCAAGGUCAAUGAGGUUUAAUACACCUUGUACUUGUUGUUCAGUGUUCUAGCAUUGUAAGAAAGAAAACCAAAUAAAUAGAGAAAUAAUAGAAAAAACACAAGUAUCAUUUGGGAGAUUACGGACCUCAUUCACCCCAGAUAUUCUUAAUGUGAACACAAAAUGGCUUCUUGAUGACUGCUCAUUCAUUUGUGUCUUUCCUACAGAUCUGCUUUGGGCAGCUUGCCGUAGAAGAGAGGAAAUCUCCUGGAUACUACAAACAUCAACAAUGGUGAGGUCAGUGACUUGUGUGUUGCCAUUUGCAUCAUGUUUUAUAGUAUACUGCUUCCCAGUAUUUUCUGUAGCACUUGAUCUAUUUGUCAAUAAAUCACGAAUGUUUUCGUUGUAUAUCUCCAACAUUGAAGCCUGCAUUUUGUACUUCCAACCCUGUGCUAAAAGGGACUGGCUAGCUUGAAAUAUUUGUUCUAGAGAUCGAGGUAUCAGCCCUUUUUGAUCUGGAGCCUCUGUCUUACCCAUCAUUGUAUAAGUUUUUCCAGAACCAGUUUGACCGUAAGCAAAAAUG
This 1475-nucleotide unclassified non-coding RNA is filed under the name Hevea brasiliensis (rubber tree). Lineage: Eukaryota; Viridiplantae; Streptophyta; Magnoliopsida; Malpighiales; Euphorbiaceae. The record is from RNAcentral.